RNAcentral lists this ribosomal RNA (255 nucleotides) under uncultured bacterium. RNAcentral's name for it is "partial 16S ribosomal RNA". It matches the Rfam family "Bacterial small subunit ribosomal RNA", at positions 99 to 354 of the family's 1533-position model. The record is from RNAcentral.
CGGACGGGUGAGUAACGCGUGGGCAACCUGCCCUUAUCUGGGGGAUAACAGUUGGAAACGACUGAUAAUACCGCAUAAUAUGGUUUGAAGGCAUCUUCUUUCCAUCAAAGAUUUAUCGGAUAAGGAUGGGCCCGCGUCUGAUUAGCUUGUUGGUGAGGUAACGGCUCACCAAGGCGACGAUCAAUAGCCGACCUGAGAGGGUGAUCGGCCACAUUGGAACUGAGACACGGUCCAAACUCCUACGGAAGGCAGCAG